This 286-nucleotide long non-coding RNA is filed under the name Ananas comosus (pineapple). RNAcentral's name for it is "long non-coding RNA (ACOM_LNC021481)". Lineage: Eukaryota; Viridiplantae; Streptophyta; Magnoliopsida; Poales; Bromeliaceae. The record is from RNAcentral.
ACACGAGGUAACACAACCAUACGAUCAUCGCCGGAUAAUCGUACGAAUCCGGGUUCCCGGAAGUGUCUAUUUCGACACCGGAACCCACCGUCGCUCACCCAUCAUCAUCGAACCCACAAAAUGAUGAUGGUGACCAGCCAACAAGGCUCAGCGACAAAACACGAAGCAACCAAACACCGUCGGAAAGAAUCCGAACCGAAACCGCGUUCUUUCGGCGAAUUUCGCCGAAAAACACACCGAAAUCGACCUACCGAUUUCCGUGAAAGCUAACGGACCAUGGACAAUC